This 327-nucleotide ribosomal RNA is filed under the name uncultured eukaryote. RNAcentral's name for it is "partial 18S ribosomal RNA". It matches the Rfam family "Eukaryotic small subunit ribosomal RNA", at positions 1470 to 1796 of the family's 1831-position model. The record is from RNAcentral.
CCCUUAGACGUUCUGGGCCGCACGCGCGCUACACUGACGAAUGCAACGAGCUUAUAACCUUGGCCGAAAGGUCUGGGUAAUCUCCAAAUUUCGUCGUGAUGGGGAUAGAUUAUUGCAAUUAUUAAUCUUCAACGAGGAAUGCCUAGUAAGCGCAAGUCAUCAGCUUGCGUUGAUUACGUCCCUGCCCUUUGUACACACCGCCCGUCGCUCCUACCGAUUGAAUGGUCCGGUGAAGCGUUCGGACCGUGGCCUUUGGACGGUUCGCCGUCUGUUGGCUGCGGGAAGUUCGUUAAACCUUAUCAUUUAGAGGAAGGAGAANUCGUAACA